This is a long non-coding RNA of Neogale vison (American mink), 116 nucleotides long. RefSeq lists it as uncharacterized. The record is from RefSeq and is a predicted model, not a curated record. The transcript has 3 exons. NCBI's taxonomy places the organism in Eukaryota, Metazoa, Chordata, Mammalia, Carnivora, Mustelidae.
CCUCCAGAGCCAAGGAGCUGAACCCUCCCAGGAGGGAGACGGCGGAGGCCUGUGGACGGUGACUCUCCUUGCGUUGUCUUGGUGAUUCCACGUAGAUCACAAGUAGGCAGAGAGGC